Long non-coding RNA from Glycine soja, 347 nucleotides. RefSeq lists it as uncharacterized. The record is from RefSeq and is a predicted model, not a curated record. The transcript is spliced from 2 exons. NCBI's taxonomy places the organism in Eukaryota, Viridiplantae, Streptophyta, Magnoliopsida, Fabales, Fabaceae.
GGCAAGUCCAUUUGAGAAGUGAAACAGUGUUGCAUUGAAUUCAAUGUAAUCCAUGAAAGCAUAUUCAUUUUGCAUUGCAAAGCUUUUAAAAUUAUGAUUCAAGAUGAAAAUGUCACUGGUUCGGCCUCUCUUUACCAGGAGAGGAUUCAGCACAAGCUCCGACAACCUUGUUGCUUCUGUGCUCUUUGAGAGAUUGCCACUGGUCAUUGAUACUUGUGAUCUCUUGCUUUUGUUUCCCACAAAAUUGAUUAUAUUACUGCUCCAUAGUUACAUUAGAGAGUUGAAACAAAGGCAAAUAUGUUAAGUUUGAAGGAAACAUGAUUGACUUUUGAGAAGCCCAGUUUUAA